CUGACACAGGGAGGUAGUGACAAGAAAUAACAAUACAGGGCUUAAAGUCUUGUAAUUGGAAUGAUGGGAAUCUAAACCCUUCCCAGAGUAUCAAUUGGAGGGCAAGUCUGGUGCCAGCAGCCGCGGUAAUUCCAGCUCCAAUAGCGUAUAUUAAAGUUGUUGCAGUUAAGAAGCUCGUAGUUGAAUUUCUGCCUUGUCAUUAAAUUCGCUUCCGAGCGUUUUUUUAUUGACUUGGCAUCUUCUGGAUUUGGUUCCCUUCGGGGUUCUAUUUUCCGGGAUUUACUUUGAGAAAACUAGAGUGUUUCAAACAGGCAUUUGCCUUGAAUACUACAGCAUGGAAUAAUGAAGUAGGACUUUGGUUCUAUUUUGUUGGUUAUUGAGCCAGAGUAAUGGUUAAUAGGAGCAGUUGGGGG
This 413-nucleotide ribosomal RNA is filed under the name Babesia microti. RNAcentral's name for it is "SSU rRNA". It matches the Rfam family "Eukaryotic small subunit ribosomal RNA", at positions 451 to 888 of the family's 1831-position model. Lineage: Eukaryota; Apicomplexa; Aconoidasida; Piroplasmida; Babesiidae. The record is from RNAcentral.